This is a long non-coding RNA of Mustela erminea (ermine), 826 nucleotides long. RefSeq lists it as uncharacterized. NCBI's taxonomy places the organism in Eukaryota, Metazoa, Chordata, Mammalia, Carnivora, Mustelidae. The transcript has 4 exons. The record is from RefSeq and is a predicted model, not a curated record.
AAAAAGGGUAAAAGUUUUGAUGAUUUUCAUAUAUUAAAGUAAUUAUUAAUAGAGAAAUUAAUUCUAUCUUUACCCCCCACUUAGAAGACAAAGUCAGAACGCCUACCUGUUGGUGCCCUUUAUGCAACUGUCCCAAAUGAAACAACUUCGGCUUUUGCUGCCACCUCUACUGCCCCCAUGGUUCCUCUGCCACAGUUUAUGGCACCUUCCCUCCACUACAGGUAUGAAUCUUAAAGAGAUACCUUAGGAAAUUUACCUGAGAAUAGCUGGAAAUUAGCCAAGCUCAAAAAAACUCGCUUCAGAAGGAAAGGAAGAAAAAUCCCUACUGCAUCAUCCAUCAGAAUCUUGCAGGUUGUAGAUGGGACGCCAGCUACACAGCCACACCCCUCUGGGGCCGCCAGGAGCAAGAAUGAGCUGGCAGGGGCAAAACACUGGGCCUUGCCUGGGAGCAGGAACAUCUCAGGGCUUCAGUAUACGCUCUUUUCCUCUUAACGGAUGGAGAGUUCAGGUGAUACAGUAGGCUGAGAGAGAAAUUGGAACUAGAUAAAGGGCCACUAUGCCUGGCUGAGAGGCUUGAAAAUUACCCUCCAGGGAAGGAAGAUUCUAGAAGUAAAACCGCUUGGCCCACAGGAGAUCACAUGGGGACCCUUUCUGCGCAGAAACAGAGCCAUAUGCGGGGAAGACCAAAGAAGAAGCUGUCCGUACUUGUUAUCCAAAAAGCCGAUUAUCGGAGUGACAUUAACCGAGUAUGGGAAGGUAACAAAUCAUACUUAUAGUGUUACUCCUUCGUCUACAUUUUAAUAAAACCGGCUGGGCCACCUCCAUG